AAAGCUUUAAGUUAAAAGUAAACUAUUAAUCUUCAAAGUUAAAUAUAUAUUUAUAUAUAAGCUUUA
RNAcentral lists this transfer RNA (66 nucleotides) under Megacopta bituminata. Its description in RNAcentral is "tRNA-Trp". The record is from RNAcentral. Lineage: Eukaryota; Metazoa; Arthropoda; Insecta; Hemiptera; Plataspidae.